This 533-nucleotide ribosomal RNA is filed under the name uncultured Chlorobiota bacterium. RNAcentral describes it as "bacterial SSU rRNA". It matches the Rfam family "Bacterial small subunit ribosomal RNA", at positions 358 to 900 of the family's 1533-position model. The record is from RNAcentral. Lineage: Bacteria; Pseudomonadati; Chlorobiota.
GGGAUACACUGCGGCGCACGCUGAAGCAGCAACGCCGCGUGAGGGAUGAAGGGCUUUUGCUCGUAAACCUCUGUUASUGAGGGAAAAAAUUUCCACUCUGUGGAAUAUGAUGGUACCUCAAAAGUAAGCCCCGGCUAACUACGUGCCAGCAGCCGCGGUAAUACGUAGGGGGCAAACGUUGUCCGGAUUUACUGGGUGUAAAGGGUGCUCAGGCGGUUUUGUAAGUCAGAAGUGAAAUCCUAGGGCUUAUCACUGGAACUGCUUUUGAUACUGCAAGGCUUGAAUGUGGAGGAAGAGGAUGGAAUUUCUGGUGUAGCAGUGAAAUGCGUAGAUAUCAUAAAGAACACCAGUGGCGAAGGCGGUCCUCUGGUCCACUAUUGACGCUGAUGAAGCAAAACGUGGGGAGCAAACAGGAUUAGAUACCCUGGUAGUCCACGCCUUAAACGAUGAAUACUAGACGUUGGGGUUAAACUCAGUGUCUGAGCUAACGCAUUAAGUAUUCCACCUGGGGAGUACGAUCGCAAGGUUGAAAC